Molecule: ribosomal RNA, 643 nt
Filed under: uncultured Actinomycetes bacterium
Lineage: Bacteria; Bacillati; Actinomycetota; Actinomycetes
Description: bacterial SSU rRNA
Rfam family: Bacterial small subunit ribosomal RNA
Source: RNAcentral
CGCGGCCUAUCAGCUUGUUGGUGAGGUAACGGCUCACCAAGGCGACGACGGGUAGCCGGCCUGAGAGGGCGACCGGCCACACUGGGACUGAGACACGGCCCAGACUCCUACGGGAGGCAGCAGUGGGGAAUAUUGCACAAUGGGCGGAAGCCUGAUGCAGCGACGCCGCGUGAGGGAUGACGGCCUUCGGGUUGUAAACCUCUUUCAGCAGGGAAGAAGCGAAAGUGACGGUACCUGCAGAAGAAGCGCCGGCUAACUACGUGCCAGCAGCCACGGUAAUACGUAGGGCGCAAGCGUUGUCCGGAAUUAUUGGGCGUAAAGAGCUCGUAGGCGGCUUGUCGCGUCGGAUGUGAAAGCCCGGGGCUUAACCCCGGGUCUGCAUUCGAUACGGGCAGGCUAGAGUUCGGUAGGGGAGAUCGGAAUUCCUGGUGUAGCGGUGAAAUGCGCAGAUAUCAGGAGGAACACCGGUGGCGAAGGCGGAUCUCUGGGCCGAUACUGACGCUGAGGAGCGAAAGCGUGGGGAGCGAACAGGAUUAGAUACCCUGGUAGUCCACGCCGUAAACGGUGGGAACUAGGUGUUGGCGACAUUCCACGUCGUCGGUGCCGCAGCUAACGCAUUAAGUUCCCCGCCUGGGGAGUACGG